Molecule: ribosomal RNA, 402 nt
Filed under: uncultured bacterium
Lineage: Bacteria
Description: bacterial SSU rRNA
Rfam family: Bacterial small subunit ribosomal RNA
Source: RNAcentral
UGGGGAAUAUUGGACAAUGGGCGACAGCCUGAUCCAGCAAUGCCGCGUGAGUGAAGAAGGCCUUAGGGUUGUAAAGCUCUUUUACCCGGGAUGAUAAUGACAGUACCGGGAGAAUAAGCUCCGGCUAACUCCGUGCCAGCAGCCGCGGUAAUACGGAGGGAGCUAGCGUUGUUCGGAAUCACUGGGCGUAAAGCGCACGUAGGCGGCUUUGUAAGUUAGAGGUGAAAUCUUACAGCUUAACUGUGAAACUGCGUUUGAUACUGCAAACCUAGGGUAUGGAAGAGAGUGAUGGAAUAUCUGGUGUAGCAGUGAAAUGCUUAGAUAUCAGAUAGAACACCAAUGGCGAAGGCAGUCACUUGGUCCAUUACUGACGCUAAAGCACGAAAGCGUGGGUAGCAAACA